AUAAAACGCUGGCGGCGUGCCUAAUACAUGCAAGUCGAACGGAAGGUUGUAGCAAUACUGCCUUUAGUGGCGAAUGGGUGAGUAACGCGUUGGUGACCUGCCCCAAAGAGAGGGAUAACAGUUCGAAAGGACUGCUAAUACCAAAUGUGGUUGUAAGAGCUAGAGUCUUACAUCGAAAGGAGCAAUCCGCUUUGGGAGGGGCCUGCGUCCCAUCAGCUAGUUGGUAGGGUAAUGGCCUACCAAGGCUACGACGGGUAGGGGGCCUGAGAGGGUGGCCCCCCACACUGGCACUGAAACACGGCCCAGACUCCUACGGGAGGCAGCAGUGGGGAAUAUUGCACAAUGGGCGAAAGCCUGAUGCAGCGACGCCGCGUGGGGGAUGACGGUCUUCGGAUUGUAAACCCCUUUCAGUAGGGACGAAGCGCAAGUGACGGUACCUGCAGAGGAAGCCACGGCUAACUACGUG
Molecule: ribosomal RNA, 466 nt
Filed under: uncultured bacterium
Lineage: Bacteria
Description: bacterial SSU rRNA
Rfam family: Bacterial small subunit ribosomal RNA
Source: RNAcentral